RNAcentral lists this ribosomal RNA (497 nucleotides) under uncultured bacterium. Its description in RNAcentral is "partial 16S ribosomal RNA". It matches the Rfam family "Bacterial small subunit ribosomal RNA", at positions 28 to 507 of the family's 1533-position model. The record is from RNAcentral.
GAUGAACGCUGGCGGCGUGCCUAAUACAUGCAAGUAGAACGCUGAAGGAAGGAGCUUGCUCUUUCCGGAUGAGUUGCGAACGGGUGAGUAACGCGUAGGUAACCUGCCUGGUAGCGGGGGAUAACUAUUGGAAACGAUAGCUAAUACCGCAUAACAGUAGAUGUUGCAUGACAACUAUUUGAAAGGGGCAAUUGCUCCACUACCAGAUGGACCUGCGUUGUAUUAGCUAGUUGGUGAGGUAACGGCUCACCAAGGCGACGAUACAUAGCCGACCUGAGAGGGUGAUCGGCCACACUGGGACUGAGACACGGCCCAGACUCCUACGGGAGGCAGCAGUAGGGAAUCUUCGGCAAUGGACGGAAGUCUGACCGAGCAACGCCGCGUGAGUGAAGAAGGUUUUCGGAUCGUAAAGCUCUGUUGUAAGAGAAGAACGAGUGUGAGAGUGGAAAGUUCACACUGUGACGGUAGCUUACCAGAAAGGGACGGCUAACUACGUG